CCACUUGAAGAUUGAUCCACAUAUGCAGCAGCUCUUUAUAAACUGCCCAAACUCCAUGCUUCAUAUACAACACAUCUUACCCUGAGACUUUAGCCCCAUUCCCAUUUCCCCUUUUGCUCAUGGCUUCCUCAUUCAUCACUUGGUUCAUAUCUUCAUUUUCAUUCAUACCUUUUCUUCUCCUUUUGAUGGGCAGCGACCAUGUUCUUUUGGUCGCUGGCCGAUGCCGAGAAGACCAACAAUCCCUACUCCUACAGCUCAAACAUGGCCUCAAUUUAAGCUAUCCAUCAUUUUCAAGGGUGAUAUCAUG
Molecule: long non-coding RNA, 307 nt
Filed under: Linum usitatissimum (flax)
Lineage: Eukaryota; Viridiplantae; Streptophyta; Magnoliopsida; Malpighiales; Linaceae
Description: long non-coding RNA (LUSI_LNC002097)
Source: RNAcentral